ACCUACAGAACCUGGUGAAUAGC
RNAcentral lists this non-coding RNA (23 nucleotides) under Cricetulus griseus (Chinese hamster). The record is from RNAcentral. Lineage: Eukaryota; Metazoa; Chordata; Mammalia; Rodentia; Cricetidae.